UACGUAGGGGGCAAGCGUUGUCCGGAAUCAUUGGGCGUAAAGAGCGUGUAGGCGGCCCGGUAAGUCCGCUGUGAAAGUCCAGGGCUCAACCCUGGGAUGCCGGUGGAUACUGUCGGGCUCGAGUCCGGAAGAGGCGAGUGGAAUCCCUGGUGUAGCGGUGAAAUGCGCAGAUAUCAGGAGGAACACCAAUGGCGAAGGCAGCUCGCUGGGACGUGACUGACGCUGAGACGCGAAAGCGUGGGGAGCAAACAGG
RNAcentral lists this ribosomal RNA (253 nucleotides) under uncultured bacterium. RNAcentral's name for it is "partial 16S ribosomal RNA". It matches the Rfam family "Bacterial small subunit ribosomal RNA", at positions 524 to 776 of the family's 1533-position model. The record is from RNAcentral.